CAAUAGCGUAUAUUAAAGUUGUUGCAGUUAAAAAGCUCGUAGUUGGAUUUCUGGAUGGAGCGACCGGUCGGGCAUUAAUUUGUCUGCACUGGAGUCGGUUCCGUCCAUCCUCUUGGAAAGUGCGUCGGGCAUUAAGUUGUUUGGCGCAUGAUCCAAGUCGUUUACUGUGAAAAAAUUAGAGUGUUUAAAGCAGGCCUUCGCCUCGAAUACAUUAGCAUGGAAUAAUAAGAUAGGACUUUGGUCUACUUUGUUGGUUUGCAGACCGAAGUAAUGAUUAAUAGGGAUAGUUGGGGGUAUUUAUAUUCCGAUGUCAGAGGUGAAAUUCUUAGAUUUUCGGAAGAUAAACUUAUGCGAAAGCAUUUACCAAGGAUGUUUUCAUUAA
RNAcentral lists this ribosomal RNA (382 nucleotides) under uncultured eukaryote. RNAcentral's name for it is "partial 18S ribosomal RNA". It matches the Rfam family "Eukaryotic small subunit ribosomal RNA", at positions 592 to 976 of the family's 1831-position model. The record is from RNAcentral.